AGUGUGGAUGGCAUGCAGUGGGAUGGUGAAGGAUGGGGCCAGAGGAAGGAAGGACAUGCCCGCCCAGCUGUGUUUGGGAUGCUGCCUCCCUGGAGAGGGGUCAUGAAGCCUAGCAGGCAGUGGAGCCCAGCAGGACUUCCCCGGACUACAGGGGGCUUCUGAGCCACUGGGCUCCCCAGAGUGAUGAGAGACCUGCUGUGUAGACUACUCCUGAAAGACUUUCAUGAAGGCACAAAAGCAACAGGUUUGCUGAGUGGUGCUGCCCGUGCCCCAUAAGGAGAACGGUGUAUACUGUUUCCACACGAUGC
This is a long non-coding RNA of Homo sapiens (human), 308 nucleotides long. Lineage: Eukaryota; Metazoa; Chordata; Mammalia; Primates; Hominidae. The record is from Ensembl.